CCACAUAUUUCACUUAACAACUGAGAGGCAGUUUAAGCUAGAAAAUCUUAUUGGACAUCCGUGAAGAACAAUACAGGAGAGGAAAAUGGCAAAAGCAAACAAAAAUGAUUUUAAACUUUCAACUGACUAAACUAGAGCUGAAUGGGGCUCUGACAUCACUGUGCCAUGCCACCUGUCACCUGAAAUCAGUGCUGUUGAC
Long non-coding RNA from Sinocyclocheilus grahami, 199 nucleotides. RefSeq lists it as uncharacterized. NCBI's taxonomy places the organism in Eukaryota, Metazoa, Chordata, Actinopteri, Cypriniformes, Cyprinidae. The record is from RefSeq and is a predicted model, not a curated record. The transcript is spliced from 3 exons.